UAGUUACUAUAGCAAAGAAGAUACACCUGUUCCCAUUCCGAACACAGAAGUUAAGCUCUUUAGCGCCGAUGGUACUUGGUGGGAAGCUGCCUGGGAGAGUA
RNAcentral lists this ribosomal RNA (101 nucleotides) under Paraclostridium sordellii. The record is from RNAcentral. Lineage: Bacteria; Bacillati; Bacillota; Clostridia; Peptostreptococcales; Peptostreptococcaceae.